RNAcentral lists this ribosomal RNA (260 nucleotides) under uncultured bacterium. RNAcentral's name for it is "partial 16S ribosomal RNA". It matches the Rfam family "Bacterial small subunit ribosomal RNA", at positions 94 to 354 of the family's 1533-position model. The record is from RNAcentral.
AGUGGCGGACGGGUGAGUAACGCGUGGGCAACCUGCCCCAUACAGGGGGAUAACAGCCGGAAACGGCUGCUAAUACCGCAUAAGCGCACGGGACCGCAUGGUUCUGUGUGAAAAACAAUAGUGGUAUGGGAGGGGCCCGCGUCUGAUUAGCCAGUUGGCGGGGUAGAGGCCCACCAAAGCGACGAUCAGUAGCCGGCCUGAGAGGGCGGACGGCCACAUUGGGACUGAGACACGGCCCAAACUCCUACGGGAGGCAGCAG